This 531-nucleotide ribosomal RNA is filed under the name uncultured bacterium. Its description in RNAcentral is "bacterial SSU rRNA". It matches the Rfam family "Bacterial small subunit ribosomal RNA", at positions 355 to 896 of the family's 1533-position model. The record is from RNAcentral.
UGGGGAAUAUUGCACAAUGGGCGCAAGCCUGAUGCAGCGACGCCGCGUGGGGGAUGACGGCCUUCGGGUUGUAAACUCCUUUCGCCAGGGACGAAGCGUCUUGUGACGGUACCUGGAGAAGAAGCACCGGCUAACUACGUGCCAGCAGCCGCGGUAAUACGUAGGGUGCAAGCGUUGUCCGGAAUUACUGGGCGUAAAGAGCUCGUAGGUGGUUUGUCACGUCGUCUGUGAAAUUCCACAGCUUAACUGUGGGCGUGCAGGCGAUACGGGCUGACUUGAGUACUGUAGGGGUAACUGGAAUUCCUGGUGUAGCGGUGAAAUGCGCAGAUAUCAGGAGGAACACCGAUGGCGAAGGCAGGUUACUGGGCAGUUACUGACGCUGAGGAGCGAAAGCAUGGGUAGCAAACAGGAUUAGAUACCCUGGUAGUCCAUGCCGUAAACGGUGGGCGCUAGGUGUAGGGGCCUUUUGGGGUUUCUGUGCCGUAGCUAACGCAUUAAGCGCCCCGCCUGGGGAGUACGGCCGCAAGGCUA